GUUUUUAUAGUUUAAUAAAAAUAUUGAUUUUGUAAAUCAAAGUUAUUUAAAAAUUAAAAACU
This 62-nucleotide transfer RNA is filed under the name Mongoloraphidia harmandi. Its description in RNAcentral is "tRNA-Thr". Lineage: Eukaryota; Metazoa; Arthropoda; Insecta; Raphidioptera; Raphidiidae. The record is from RNAcentral.